This 543-nucleotide ribosomal RNA is filed under the name uncultured bacterium. Its description in RNAcentral is "bacterial SSU rRNA". It matches the Rfam family "Bacterial small subunit ribosomal RNA", at positions 777 to 1319 of the family's 1533-position model. The record is from RNAcentral.
AAUAGAUACCCUGGUAGUCCACGCCGUAAACGAUGAGUGCUAAGUGUUGGGGGGUUUCCGCCCCUCAGUGCUGCAGCUAACGCAUUAAGCACUCCGCCUGGGGAGUACGGUCGCAAGACUGAAACUCAAAGGAAUUGACGGGGGCCCGCACAAGCGGUGGAGCAUGUGGUUUAAUUCGAAGCAACGCGAAGAACCUUACCAGGUCUUGACAUCCCGGUGACCACUAUGGAGACAUAGUUUCCCCUUCGGGGGCAACGGCGACAGGUGGUGCAUGGUUGUCGUCAGCUCGUGUCGUGAGAUGUUGGGUUAAGUCCCGCAACGAGCGCAACCCUUAUUCUUAGUUGCCAUCAUUCAGUUGGGCACUCUAAGGAGACUGCCGGUGAUAAACCGGAGGAAGGUGGGGAUGACGUCAAAUCAUCAUGCCCCUUAUGACCUGGGCUACACACGUGCUACAAUGGACGGUACAAACGGUUGCCAACCCGCGAGGGGAGCUAAUCCGAUAAAACCGUUCUCAGUUCGGAUUGUAGGCUGCAACUCGCCUAC